AGCUCCAAUAGCGUAUGUUAAAAUUGCUGCAGUUAAAAAGCUCGUAGUUGGACUUCUGGUGUGGUGCGCCGAGCCCGUCCAUUCGGAUGAGUGCUUGUGCGCGCCUACCAUACUUCUGGAGAGUGUGCCUGUCCUUCACUGGAUUGGGUACAGGCUCCAGAUCAUUUACUUUGAAAAAAUUAGAGUGUUUAAAGCAGGCAUUUGCUAUGAAUACAUUAGCAUGGAAUAAUAAGAUAGGACUUCGGCUCUAUUUUGUUGGUUUCUAGGACUGAAGUAAUGAUUGAUAGGGACAGUUGGGGGUGCUAGUAUUUAACGGCCAGAGGUGAAAUUCUUGGAUUCGUUAAAGACUAACUUAUGCGAAAGCAUUCACCAAGGAUGUCUUCU
Molecule: ribosomal RNA, 384 nt
Filed under: uncultured eukaryote
Lineage: Eukaryota
Description: SSU rRNA
Rfam family: Eukaryotic small subunit ribosomal RNA
Source: RNAcentral